RNAcentral lists this ribosomal RNA (446 nucleotides) under uncultured bacterium. RNAcentral's name for it is "partial 16S ribosomal RNA". It matches the Rfam family "Bacterial small subunit ribosomal RNA", at positions 338 to 795 of the family's 1533-position model. The record is from RNAcentral.
CCUACGGGAUGCAGCAGUCGAGAAUCAUUCACAAUGGGGGAAACCCUGAUGGUGCGACGCCGCGUGGGGGAAUGAAGGUCUUCGGAUUGUAAACCCCUGUCAUGUGGGAGCAAAUUAAAAAGAUAGUACCACAAGCAGAAGAGACGGCUAACUCUGUGCCAGCAGCCGCGGUAAUACAGAGGUCUCAAGCGUUGUUCGGAAUCACUGGGAGUAAAGCGUGCGUAGGCUGUUUCGUAAGUCGUGUGUGAACGGUCCGGGCGCAACCCGCGGACGGCACCUGAUACUGCGAGAACAGAGAAAUGGAGGGGGAACCGGAAUUCUCGGUGUAGCAGUGAAAUGCGUAGAUAUCGAGAGGAACACUCGGGGCGAAGGCGGGUUCCUGGACAUUAACUGACGCUGAGGCACGAAGGCCAGGGGAGCGAAAGGGAUUAGAUACCCUUGUAGUC